This 329-nucleotide ribosomal RNA is filed under the name uncultured eukaryote. RNAcentral's name for it is "partial 18S ribosomal RNA". It matches the Rfam family "Eukaryotic small subunit ribosomal RNA", at positions 1470 to 1796 of the family's 1831-position model. The record is from RNAcentral.
CCCUUAGAUGUCCGGGGCCGCACGCGCGCUACACUGAAGGAAUCAGCGUGGCUUUCUCCCUGACCCGAAAGGGUUGGGAAACCCGUUGAAUCUCCUUCGUGAUAGGGAUUGGGGCUUGAAAUUGUUCCCCAUGAACGAGGAAUUCCCAGUAAGCGCAAGUCAUCAGCUUGCGUCGAUUACGUCCCUGCCCUUUGUACACACCGCCCGUCGCUCCUACCGAUUGGGUGUGCUGGUGAAAUGUUCGGAUCGGCCGUUUGUCGCGGUUUCCGCGUCAUGUGGCUGAGAAGUUCAUUAAACCCUCCCACCUAGAGGAAGGAGAAGUCGUAACA